GUCUGACGGAGCACGCCGCGUGAGUGAUGAAGGUUUUCGGAUCGUAAAACUCUGUUGUUAGGGAAGAACAAGUACAAGAGUAACUGCUUGUACCUUGACGGUACCUAACCAGAAAGCCACGGCUAACUACGUGCCAGCAGCCGCGGUAAUACGUAGGUGGCAAGCGUUGUCCGGAAUUAUUGGGCGUAAAGCGCGCGCAGGCGGUCCUUUAAGUCUGAUGUGAAAGCCCACGGCUCAACCGUGGAGGGUCAUUGGAAACUGGGGGACUUGAGUGCAGAAGAGAAGAGUGGAAUUCCACGUGUAGCGGUGAAAUGCGUAGAGAUGUGGAGGAACACCAGUGGCGAAGGCGACUCUUUGGUCUGUAACUGACGCUGAGGCGCGAAAGCGUGGGGAGCAAACAGGAUU
This 405-nucleotide ribosomal RNA is filed under the name Bacillus sp. FERM003. Its description in RNAcentral is "bacterial SSU rRNA". It matches the Rfam family "Bacterial small subunit ribosomal RNA", at positions 381 to 779 of the family's 1533-position model. The record is from RNAcentral. Lineage: Bacteria; Bacillati; Bacillota; Bacilli; Caryophanales; Bacillaceae.